UGGGGAAUUUUGGACAAUGGGCGCAAGCCUGAUCCAGCCAUGCCGCGUGCAGGAUGAAGGCCUUCGGGUUGUAAACUGCUUUUGUACGGAACGAAAAGACUCUGGUUAAUACCUGGGGUCCAUGACGGUACCGUAAGAAUAAGCACCGGCUAACUACGUGCCAGCAGCCGCGGUAAUACGUAGGGUGCAAGCGUUAAUCGGAAUUACUGGGCGUAAAGCGUGCGCAGGCGGUUAUGCAAGACAGAUGUGAAAUCCCCGGGCUCAACCUGGGAACUGCAUUUGUGACUGCAUAGCUGGAGUGCGGCAGAGGGGGAUGGAAGUCCGCGUGUAGCAGUGAAAUUCGUAGAUAUCGGGAGGAACACCAGUGGCGAAGGCGGCGAUCUGGGUCGAUACUGACGCUGAGGUGCGAAAGCGUGGGGAGCAAACA
Molecule: ribosomal RNA, 427 nt
Filed under: uncultured bacterium
Lineage: Bacteria
Description: bacterial SSU rRNA
Rfam family: Bacterial small subunit ribosomal RNA
Source: RNAcentral